CUCAGGGAGGUAGUGACAAGAAAUAACAACACUGGAAAUUUUAUUUCUAGUGAUUGGAAUGAUGGGAAUUUAAACCCCUUUCAGAGCAACAAUUGGAGGGCAAGUCUGGUGCCAGCAGCCGCGGUAAUUCCAGCUCCAAUAGCGUAUAUUAAAGUUGUUGCAGUUAAAAAGCUCGUAGUUGGAUGUCUGCUGGAAGCAAUCAGUCCGCCCUAUUUGUAGGGUGUGCACUUGAUGAAUUCUGGCAUCUAUGUCCCAAUGAUAUACGCGAUGGUGUUAUUAAUAUAUAGGUUAAUCCUGUAUAUUAUAUACCCAUUUGUGUAAUAUUGGGAUAAUACCGUUACUUUGAGAAAAUUAGAGUGUUUGAAGCAGGCUAAUUGCCUUGAAUACUGCAGCAUGGAAUAACAAUAUAGGAUUUCGGUUCUAUUUUGUUGGUUUCUAGGACUGAAAUAAUGAUUAAUAGGGACAGUUGGGGGCAUUCGUAUUUAACUGUCAGAGGUGAAAUUCUUAGAUUUGUUAAAGACGAACUACUGCGAAAGCAUUUGCCAAAGAUGUUUUCAUUAAUCAAGAACGAAGGUUAGGGGCUCGAAGACGAUCAGAUACCGUCGUAGUCUUAACCAUAAACUAUGCCGACUAGAGAUAGGAAACUGUCAUUUUUCUGACUU
RNAcentral lists this ribosomal RNA (662 nucleotides) under Sarcocystis sp. RNAcentral's name for it is "SSU rRNA". It matches the Rfam family "Eukaryotic small subunit ribosomal RNA", at positions 455 to 1077 of the family's 1831-position model. The record is from RNAcentral. Lineage: Eukaryota; Apicomplexa; Conoidasida; Eucoccidiorida; Sarcocystidae.